RNAcentral lists this ribosomal RNA (255 nucleotides) under Clostridioides difficile. RNAcentral describes it as "partial 23S ribosomal RNA". It matches the Rfam family "Bacterial large subunit ribosomal RNA", at positions 2413 to 2667 of the family's 2925-position model. Lineage: Bacteria; Bacillati; Bacillota; Clostridia; Peptostreptococcales; Peptostreptococcaceae. The record is from RNAcentral.
UAGUGAUCCGGUGGUUCUGCGUGGAAGGGCCAUCGCUCAACGGAUAAAAGCUACCCUGGGGAUAACAGGCUUAUCUCCCCCAAGAGUCCACAUCGACGGGGAGGUUUGGCACCUCGCUGUCGGCUCAGCACAUCCUGGGGCUGUAGUAGGUCCCAAGGGUUGGGCUGUUCGCCCAUUAAAGUGGUACGCGAGCUGGGUUCAGAACGUCGUGAGACAGUUCGGUCCCUAUCCGUCGCAGGCGGAGGAAAUUUGAGA